This 236-nucleotide unclassified non-coding RNA is filed under the name Chytridiomycota sp. RNAcentral's name for it is "partial contains small subunit ribosomal RNA, internal transcribed spacer 1, and 5.8S ribosomal RNA". The stretch from base 1 to 47 matches the Rfam family "Eukaryotic small subunit ribosomal RNA", at positions 1785 to 1831 of the family's 1831-position model. The record is from RNAcentral. Lineage: Eukaryota; Fungi; Chytridiomycota.
AAAGUCGUAACAAGGUAACCGUAGGUGAACCUGCGGUUGGAUCAUUAACAAAUGAAAGACUAGUUUGUCCAAAAGACAGGCUUUUCUAAACACCAUUGUGAACUGUUUAUUGUCUCUGGUGGGGGAUCUUUUUGAGAACCCACCGAUUUUAUUUGAACCUUGUAGUAUCAUUUGUCUUUAAAUAAAAGUUGAAAUAUAAAAAAAAACAACUUUUGGCAACGGAUCUCUAGGCUCUC